GAUGAACGCUAGCUACAGGCUUAACACAUGCAAGUCGAGGGGCAGCAUGAACUUAGCUUGCUAAGUUUGAUGGCGACCGGCGCACGGGUGAGUAACACGUAUCCAACCUGCCGAUGACUCGGGGAUAGCCUUUCGAAAGAAAGAUUAAUACCCGAUGGCAUAGUUCUUCCGCAUGGUAGAACUAUUAAAGAAUUUCGGUCAUCGAUGGGGAUGCGUUCCAUUAGGUUGUUGGCGGGGUAACGGCCCACCAAGCCUUCGAUGGAUGGGGGUUCUGAGAGGAAGGUCCCCCACAUUGGAACUGAGACACGGUCCAAACUCCUACGGGAGGCAGCAGUGAGGAAUAUUGGUCAAUGGACGAGAGUCUGAACCAGCCAAGUAGCGUGAAGGAUGACUGCCCUAUGGGUUGUAAACUU
This 413-nucleotide ribosomal RNA is filed under the name uncultured bacterium. Its description in RNAcentral is "bacterial SSU rRNA". It matches the Rfam family "Bacterial small subunit ribosomal RNA", at positions 28 to 432 of the family's 1533-position model. The record is from RNAcentral.